GGUUAAGCGACUAAGCGUACACGGUGGAUGCCCUGGCAGUCAGAGGCGAUGAAGGACGUGCUAAUCUGCGAAAAGCGUCGGUAAGGUGAUAUGAACCGUUAUAGCCGGCGAUGUCCGAAUGGGGAAACCCAGUGUGAUUCGUCACACUAUCGUUAACUGAAUACAUAGGUUAACGAGGCGAACCGGGGGAACUGAAACAUCUAAGUACCCCGAGGAAAAGAAAUCAACCGAGAUUCCCCCAGUAGCGGCGAGCGAACGGGGAGCAGCCCAGAGUCUGAAUCAGCUUGUGUGUUAGUGGAACGGUCUGGAAAGUCCGACGGUACAGGGUGAUAGUCCCGUACACCAAAAUGCACAGGUUGUGAACUCGAAGAGUAGGGCGGGACACGUGGUAUCCUGUCUGAAUAUGGGGGGACCAUCCUCCAAGGCUAAAUACUCCUGACUGACCGAUAGUGAACCAGUACCGUGAGGGAAAGGCGAAAAGAACCCCGGCGAGGGGAGUGAAAAAGAACCUGAAACCGUGUACGUACAAGCAGUGGGAGCACCUUUAUGGUGUGACUGCGUACCUUUUGUAUAAUGGGUCAGCGACUUAUAUUCUGUAGCAAGGUUAACCGUAUAGGGGAGCCGCAGGGAAACCGAGUCUUAACUGGGCGUUAAGUUGCAGGGUAUAGACCCGAAACCCGGUGAUCUAGCCAUGGGCAGGUUGAAGGUUGGGUAACACUAACUGGAGGACCGAACCGACUAAUGUUGAAAAAUUAGCGGAUGACUUGUGGCUGGGGGUGAAAGGCCAAUCAAACCGGGAGAUAGCUGGUUCUCCCCGAAAGCUAUUUAGGUAGCGCCUCGUGAACUCAUCUUCGGGGGUAGAGCACUGUUUCGGCUAGGGGGUCAUCCCGACUUACCAACCCGAUGCAAACUACGAAUACCGAAGAAUGUUAUCACGGGAGACACACGGCGGGUGCUAACGUCCGUCGUGAAGAGGGAAACAACCCAGACCGCCAGCUAAGGUCCCAAAGUCAUGGUUAAGUGGGAAACGAUGUGGGAAGGCACAGACAGCCAGGAUGUUGGCUUAGAAGCAGCCAUCAUUUAAAGAAAGCGUAAUAGCUCACUGGUCGAGUCGGCCUGCGCGGAAGAUGUAACGGGGCUAAACCAUGCACCGAAGCUGCGGCAGCGACACUAUGUGUUGUUGGGUAGGGGAGCGUUCUGUAAGCCUGCGAAGGUGACCUGUGAGGGUUGCUGGAGGUAUCAGAAGUGCGAAUGCUGACAUAAGUAACGAUAAAGCGGGUGAAAAGCCCGCUCGCCGGAAGACCAAGGGUUCCUGUCCAACGUUAAUCGGGGCAGGGUGAGUCGACCCCUAAGGCGAGGCCGAAAGGCGUAGUCGAUGGGAAACAGGUUAAUAUUCCUGUACUUGGUGUUACUGCGAAGGGGGGACGGAGAAGGCUAUGUUAGCCGGGCGACGGUUGUCCCGGUUUAAGCAUGUAGGCUGGUUAUCCAGGCAAAUCCGGAUAAUCAAGGCUGAGGUGUGAUGAGGAGGCACUACGGUGCUGAAGUGACAAAUGCCCUGCUUCCAGGAAAAGCCUCUAAGCAUCAGGUAACAUCAAAUCGUACCCCAAACCGACACAGGUGGUCAGGUAGAGAAUACCAAGGCGCUUGAGAGAACUCGGGUGAAGGAACUAGGCAAAAUGGUGCCGUAACUUCGGGAGAAGGCACGCUGGUGUGUAGGUGAAGUCCCUGCGGAUGGAGCUGAGACCAGUCGAAGAUACCAGCUGGCUGCAACUGUUUAUUAAAAACACAGCACUGUGCAAACACGAAAGUGGACGUAUACGGUGUGACGCCUGCCCGGUGCCGGAAGGUUAAUUGAUGGGGUUAUCCGUAAGGAGAAGCUCUUGAUCGAAGCCCCGGUAAACGGCGGCCGUAACUAUAACGGUCCUAAGGUAGCGAAAUUCCUUGUCGGGUAAGUUCCGACCUGCACGAAUGGCGUAAUGAUGGCCAGGCUGUCUCCACCCGAGACUCAGUGAAAUUGAACUCGCUGUGAAGAUGCAGUGUACCCGCGGCAAGACGGAAAGACCCCGUGAACCUUUACUAUAGCUUGACACUGAACAUUGAGCCUUGAUGUGUAGGAUAGGUGGGAGGCUUUGAAGCGUGGACGCCAGUCUGCGUGGAGCCAACCUUGAAAUACCACCCUUUAAUGUUUGAUGUUCUAACGUGGGCCCCUGACCGGGGUUGCGGACAGUGUCUGGUGGGUAGUUUGACUGGGGCGGUCUCCUCCCAAAGCGUAACGGAGGAGCACGAAGGUUAGCUAAUCCUGGUCGGACAUCAGGAGGUUAGUGCAAUGGCAUAAGCUAGCUUGACUGCGAGCGUGACGGCGCGAGCAGGUGCGAAAGCAGGUCAUAGUGAUCCGGUGGUUCUGAAUGGAAGGGCCAUCGCUCAACGGAUAAAAGGUACUCCGGGGAUAACAGGCUGAUACCGCCCAAGAGUUCAUAUCGACGGCGGUGUUUGGCACCUCGAUGUCGGCUCAUCACAUCCUGGGGCUGAAGUAGGUCCCAAGGGUAUGGCUGUUCGCCAUUUAAAGUGGUACGCGAGCUGGGUUUAGAACGUCGUGAGACAGUUCGGUCCCUAUCUGCCGUGGGCGCUGGAGAAUUGAGGGGGGCUGCUCCUAGUACGAGAGGACCGGAGUGGACGCAUCACUGGUGUUCGGGUUGUCAUGCCAAUGGCACUGCCCGGUAGCUAAAUGCGGAAGAGAUAAGUGCUGAAAGCAUCUAAGCACGAAACUUGCCCCGAGAUGAGUUCUCCCUGAGACUUUAAGUCUCCUGAAGGAACGUUGAAGACGACGACGUUGAUAGGCCGGGUGUGUAAGCGCAGCGAUGCGUUGAGCUAACCGGUACUAAUGAACCGUGAGGCUUAACCUU
RNAcentral lists this ribosomal RNA (2903 nucleotides) under Klebsiella quasipneumoniae subsp. quasipneumoniae. Its description in RNAcentral is "23S ribosomal RNA". It matches the Rfam family "Bacterial large subunit ribosomal RNA". The record is from RNAcentral. Lineage: Bacteria; Pseudomonadati; Pseudomonadota; Gammaproteobacteria; Enterobacterales; Enterobacteriaceae.